GAUGAAGAACGUAGCGAAAUGCGAUAAGUAAUGUGAAUUGCAGAAUUCAGUGAAUCAUCGAAUCUUUGAACGCACAUUGCGCCCUCUGGUAUUCCGGGGGGCAUGUCUGUUCGAGCGUCAUUACAACCCUCAAGCUUUGCUUGGUAUUGGACAUUGCCAGUUUCUGGCAGGUCUUAAAAUCAGUGGCGGUGCCAUUUGGCUUCAAGCGUAGUAAUUCUUCUCGCUUUGGAGAUCCAAGUGGUUACUUGCCAAUAACCCCCAAUUUUUUCAGGUUGACCUCGGAUCAGGUAGGGAUACCCGCUGAACUUAAGCAUAUCAAUAAGCGGAGGA
RNAcentral lists this unclassified non-coding RNA (330 nucleotides) under soil metagenome. Its description in RNAcentral is "partial contains 5.8S ribosomal RNA, internal transcribed spacer 2, and large subunit ribosomal RNA". The stretch from base 1 to 120 matches the Rfam family "5.8S ribosomal RNA", at positions 35 to 154 of the family's 154-position model. The record is from RNAcentral.